UAAGAAGAGAGAAUGCCGGAAUGAGUAGCGAGAGGAAGGUGGGAAUCCUUCCGGCCGAAUAUCUAAGGUUUCCAGAGUAAAGCUGAUCUGCUCUGGGUAAGUCGGGGCCUAAGGAGAGGUCGAAAGACGUAUCCGAUGGACAACAGGUUUAGAUUCCUGUACCACAUAUAAACAGAACUGUGGGGACGCACGUGGAAAGCAUAAGCCGGGAAUGGAAAUACCGGUACAAACGGAAGAGGUGUCAGGCUGGCAAAUCCGCCUGAUAAGCCAAAGACGUGAUGUGGAGCGAAAUAAAAGUAGCGAAGUAUGUGAGCCAUGUGCCGAGAAAAGCCGCUAUCGUUUUAUAUGUGCCCGUACCGUAAACCGACACAGGUGGAUGAGGAGAGAAUCCUAAGGCCGACGGAAGAAGCAUUGUUAAGGAACUCGGCAAAAUGACCCCGUAACUUCGGGAGAAGGGGUGCCCACUUCAGGGUGGGCCGCAGAGAAUAGGCUCAAGCAACUGUUUAGCAAAAACACAGGUCUAUGCGAAACCGUAAGGUGAAGUAUAUGGGCUGACGCCUGCCCGGUGCUGGAAGGUUAAGAGGAGAGGUUAGUCGCAAGAUGAAGCUUUGAAUUUAAGCCCCAGUAAACGGCGGCCGUAACGGUAACGGUCCUAAGGUAGCGAAAUUCCUUGUCGGGUAAGUUCCGACCCGCACGAAAGGCGUAAUGAUUUGAGCACUGUCUCGACAAUGCAUCCAAAAUUGAAGUACCAGUGAAGAUGCUGGUUACCCGCGCCAGGACGGAAAGACCCCAUGGAGCUUUACUCCAGUUUGGUACUGGGAUUCGGUACUGCAUGUACAGGAUAGGUGGGAGACUGAGAAAUUGGAACGCCAGUUUCAAUGGAGUCACUGUUGGGAUACCACCCCUGCAGUAUUGGGUUUCUAACCAGCCGCUGUGAUCCAGCGGUGGGACAAUGCCAGGCGGGGAGUUUGACUGGGGCGGUCGCCUCCGAAAGGGUAUCGGAGGCGCUCAAAGGUUCCCUCAGAAUGGUCGGAAACCAUUUGAAGAGUGCAAAGGCAGAAGGGAGCUUGACUGCGACACCGACGGGUGGAGCAGGUACGAAAGUAGGACUUAGUGAUCCGGUGGCAUAAAGUGGGAUUGCCAUCGCUCAACGGACAAAAGCUACCCUGGGAUAACAGGCUUAUCACUCCCAAGAGUUCACAUCGACGGAGUGGUUUGGCACCUCGAUGUCGGCUCAUCGCAUCCUGGGGCUGUAGCAGGUCCCAAGGGUUGGGCUGUUCGCCCAUUAAAGCGGUACGCGAGCUGGGUUCAGAACGUCGUGAGACAGUUCGGUCCCUAUCCGGCGCGGGCGGAGGAUAUUUGAGAGGAGCUGUCCUUAGUACGAGAGGACCGGGAUGGACGGACCACUGGUGUAUCUGCUGUCGACCAACGGCAUGGCAGAGUAGCCAAGUCCGGAAGGGAUAAACGCUGAAGGCAUCUAAGCGUGAAGCCCCCCUCAAGAUGAGAUAUCCCUCACAUAAGUGAGUAAGAUCCC
Molecule: ribosomal RNA, 1534 nt
Filed under: metagenome
Description: bacterial LSU rRNA
Rfam family: Bacterial large subunit ribosomal RNA
Source: RNAcentral